RNAcentral lists this transfer RNA (74 nucleotides) under Stachybotrys chlorohalonatus IBT 40285. RNAcentral's name for it is "tRNA-Tyr (GTA) (tRNA-Tyr-GTA-2-1)". It matches the Rfam family "tRNA". From Rfam's summary of the family: Transfer RNA (tRNA) molecules are approximately 80 nucleotides in length. Their secondary structure includes four short double-helical elements and three loops (D, anti-codon, and T loops). Lineage: Eukaryota; Fungi; Ascomycota; Sordariomycetes; Hypocreales; Stachybotryaceae. The record is from RNAcentral.
CUCCUUGUGGUGUAGUUGGCUAUCACGUCGGGCUGUAAACCUGAAGGUCACCGGCUCGAUUCCGGUCGGGGAGA